GAUGAAGAACGUAGCGAAAUGCGACAAGUAAUGUGAAUUGCAGAAUUCCGUGAAUCAUCGAAUCUUUGAACGCACAUUGCGCUCCUUGGUAUUCCGAGGAGCAUGCCUGUUUGAGUGUCAUUAAUAUAUCAACCUCUUCAGCUUAUGCUUGUUGAGUGUUGGAUGGUGGGGGUUUGCUGGUGUCUUAUGAAGUCAGCUCCUCUGAAAUGCAUUAGCGGAACAAUUUGUUGACCGUUCAUUGGUGUGAUAAAAAUAUCUACGCUAUUGACGUCAGUCAGUUCAGCUUCUAACAGUCCAUUGACUUGGACAAAUUUUUCAUUAAUGUGACCUCAAAUCAGGUAGGACUACCCGCUGAACUUAAGCAUAUCAAUAAGCGGAGGA
Molecule: unclassified non-coding RNA, 381 nt
Filed under: soil metagenome
Description: partial contains 5.8S ribosomal RNA, internal transcribed spacer 2, and large subunit ribosomal RNA
Rfam family: 5.8S ribosomal RNA (bases 1-120)
Source: RNAcentral